This is a long non-coding RNA of Macrosteles quadrilineatus (aster leafhopper), 452 nucleotides long. RefSeq lists it as uncharacterized. NCBI's taxonomy places the organism in Eukaryota, Metazoa, Arthropoda, Insecta, Hemiptera, Cicadellidae. The transcript is spliced from 2 exons. The record is from RefSeq and is a predicted model, not a curated record.
GUUCAGCAUCCAAAUAAAAUAAUUUUCUCUUGCCAGAAGCUGUUCUCUUGCAACCAUCAUUCUAUCUUCCAUCAUGUACUUGAUCAACUUGAUUCUCCUGCUUCUAAUGUGUACACUCUGUGGGGCUUUCUUCAGGUGUGGUUCACUUAACUACAAGGCUGUGGGUUUCACUAAAGGUGAUGGCGAAUCAGGCCGCCCUUGCAUUAAAUGCGAACUCAUAAAUUGGUUCUCUGAUCAAGUAUGCAUUUACUAUAAAUGUGAAGGAAACCUCACAUGUAAAGAAAGCGAAGAUGGUAAACAUAGGUUGUGUAGUUAACUCCGACCGCCCGACCAGUACACCAAUACCCUGUCACCAAUACAAUAAACAAGAUUCCAGAAAAUUGAUCAUUGAAAACAUGUAGGCUACACUUGAGUCGUGUUAGAUUUUUAAUAAAAACUAGUGUCAUGCUGGA